AUGCUCGAGAUGGCUGCUGCGAGUGACAGAGACCCUUUCGGAGACCUCCCUGACGAGCUCCUAUGGCGUGUGCUGUCCUUCCUUCCGGCAGAGGAUGCCCUGCAGACCUGCGUGCUCAACACCCGCUGGCGCGACCUCUGGAGGCGCCUGACCAGCCUGCUAUUCGUCUUUGACGGGCCAACGUUCCCGCGAUACAACCGUUUCAAACAGUUGGUGAAGCUGGUCAUCUGUCUCCGCGGGGACUCGCCUCUCAUCAGGUGCGAGAUCGAUGCCUAUCCUGACGAUGAGCCGGAGAACACGUUCACAAACACCAGGCUGUUGAUUGACUACGCUCUGGCAUGCAAAGCUGAGGAACUCGUAGUAAGAGCAGCUGACAUUCAGUACGACCUACCAGUGUUCGAUGUGCCUCUGAGUCUCAUCUCCCAACACUUGAAGACCCUGCACCUUGAAGGGGUCAACCUCGACCACUCUGCUUUGAAGUUCUCAGGCUGCCCGGUGUUAAGAGGACCUAAGGAUUCAACUUUGCAACAUUCGUGCAUGUGA
RNAcentral lists this ribosomal RNA (543 nucleotides) under Triticum aestivum (bread wheat). Its description in RNAcentral is "partial small subunit ribosomal RNA". Lineage: Eukaryota; Viridiplantae; Streptophyta; Magnoliopsida; Poales; Poaceae. The record is from RNAcentral.